This is a long non-coding RNA of Populus euphratica (Euphrates poplar), 566 nucleotides long. RefSeq lists it as uncharacterized. The record is from RefSeq and is a predicted model, not a curated record. Lineage: Eukaryota; Viridiplantae; Streptophyta; Magnoliopsida; Malpighiales; Salicaceae. The transcript is spliced from 2 exons.
CAUUAUUUUGGUUUGAAAUAGGCGGAUAUGGAUCCAACUCCACUUCACUGUGCUGCUAAGUUGUUGAUCAGUUCUCAAGCUGAAGAUGGUAGCUAUCCGCAGCAGGAAAUUACCGGAGUUUUCAAGAAUAACUGCAUGUUACACUACCCUAUCCAUAAGAAUAUUUUCCCCUUAUGGGCUCUGGCAGAAUACCGAAAAAAAUUUCCAUUUCCUUCCAAGAAGCUUUGAAUUAACCUAUGGAUUUUGUACAACAAGAUAUAUAUAGUUGUUUGUGCAGGGUAGCAGGAAAAUUGUGAGUGUUGAAACUGCAGACCCCAUAUGCAUAUAUGGGGCAGGGGGCAGGCUUAUUUUAAGUCAAUAAAUAUAUGCUCACAGAAGCUUGUAUAAAGUUGAACCAAAAACUAAGUUUCUCAUAAUCCCAUGUAUUUAUUAUAUUAAUCAAAAAAAUUCAGUCUUCUAAAUUAGAAUGGAUGAUCUUCUAUAUGUAACUACUCAAUAUUUUGAUGCGACUGACAAUCAUUUCUAGGCAUGAAUAGCCUACAUUUCCAGCUAGUUUCAUCUGUCAA